RNAcentral lists this long non-coding RNA (2393 nucleotides) under Anolis carolinensis (green anole). RNAcentral's name for it is "lncRNA (ENSACAG00000034220.2)". Lineage: Eukaryota; Metazoa; Chordata; Lepidosauria; Squamata; Anolidae. The record is from RNAcentral.
GGGGGCAUGAGAGAAGCCUCCCACAAGGAUGGUAAAAACAUCAAACCAUCCGAGUGUCCCCUGGGCAACGUCCUUGUAGACGGCCAAUUCUCUCACCAUUAUGGCUACAUCAACAGUAUUCACAGAAUUUUCCAGUUCUAUACAUGCAGGGGUGGUGCUGGGAUAACAUAUGUGUGUGAAAAUAUUACAUUAGUGUUGGCUGAGUUGAUCCUGGUUUUAUAAACCUAGCCUACAAGUCAACAGGUCUAAAUUUUAAUGAUAUCUAAUAGUUCACCCUCUCCUCACUGUAUCAACAGACCUAUAGCAUGAAGUCCUGGCCUUCCAUUGUUUGGUUUAACCAUUCUUCCAUUCCUGCUUAGAAUAGCUGGUAAUUGUCUGCUCCUGUCUGGGGAGAAAUAUGGGUGGCAAGAAGGGGCAAGUGGCAUCAAAACCAAAUAACCUGUUGUAAAGCCACUAGCCUUCCCCUAGUCAUUUGGGGGAAUGUUUUGGGAGCCAUUUCUUCAAAUUUGAGGGAAAAGAAUUGGAGAUUGCUCUGAUUACAUAUCAAGUCGUGAUGGUUUGGGCUGGCACAUCACAGAGUUGCCUAAACUCUUGCUUGUUCUUUUCCAUUCUAGUGAAUCUGGCAUGGGCAGCUGACAUUGAUGUUCCAGUUGACAUUUCUGUAAAUGAAGAGGGAACCCCAAAGGAAAACAAUGCAUCUGAAACCAACCCCAUAGAAGAUUCAGGGUCAAGUUCACCAUCUGCUGCUGAAGGAUCAUCUCCACACAGCAGUAUGUAUAUGGGAUAUGAAAAAUUACGUUAAUUUUUGACAGCAAUGUAAAAUAAUACAAAAACCGAAGAGACAGUGUUGUCCAUAGAUACCUCCAAGAUCAUAUGGCUGGCAUGACUGCAUGGAGUGCCAUUACCUUCUGCCGGAGCGGUACCUAUUGAUCUAUUCACAUUUGCAUGUUUUCAAACUGCUAUGUUGGCAGAAGCUGGCGCUAACAGCGGGAGCUCGCCCCACCCCCCAGAUUUGAGCCACCGACCUUUUUAUCAGCAAGGUCAGCAGCUCAGUGGUUUAACACACUACGCCACCAGGGGUUCUCUUUGGUUAUUAUAAUAAUUCAAAUCUGCUAACUUUAAAAAUAUUUUAAUUUUUAGAUCAAGACCCUUCUGCUGAUGAAGCACCUUCUGAUGAUGGUAUGUAUAGAAGAGUAAAUUGAGCAUAAAUAUUAGAAAGGAGUUUGGAAUAAUACAGACCACAUAGCGAAUACUACACCAAUCCUUUUUCAGCAGUCUCUCAAGACCCCCGACUUCUCCCCCUCAAAAAAAGGAAAAUGAAAAAUGUCACAAAAUGGUCCACUGCUACUCCACUUAGUCACUAAAGGCUUGAGUCUUUCUUUGUUAUUCUUAUUUAUAUGGGAAUUAGAAAUGUUAAAGGAAGAGCAGCAAAGGAGGAUGAGGGGGGUGGGAUCAUAUGAGAUUGAUAUUUAUACAUCGACUAUACAGUAAGAUCAACGCACCAUUCAAUGGAAGAUAAUAAGCCUUUGUAUUUCCAACUAUGGAUAAUAGGCUUCAGGCUCCCUACUAACAUUUUACAAUAUUUUGAUUCUUAGACCAAGCCUCUUAAACAAGCCACCUUCUAAUGAUGGUAGGUAUAUCGCAACAACAUGGAUAUGGAUAUUAGAAAAAUUUAGAACACACAAUGAAGAGAUCCCCCAAUGCUUUCAUGCAGUAUCUGAAGAUCCACAAACCCCCUCUUUUUCAGUUGGAAAAUGCUCAAAGACAAUCCAGUGUCGCUCCAUUCAGAUACUAAAAUAGAUAUAAUAUGAGUCCUAUUGACAUGUAUUUGAUGUAGCUUGGACAGACAUUCCUAAAUUAAGUUGAAUAUAUGUAUAGAAGAUAAUGCUUCAUCUGCUAUUUGCUAAAUAAGAGGUGCAAGGCUUGUGCCCUUCUUGGUAUUUUUUUCAGCUGCAGUAUCUCUUAACCUGAUGCAGCAACUCCAGAAUGUUUGGAGUUAAACUUUGAGACUAAUUGGAGUUAGUCUCCAAUUGGAGUUAGAGUGCCAUAGGUUUCCUAACUCUCCCUGAAUAAUUGCUGUGUGCCUGAGAGUGCAAAAAAGAAGGACAUAUGUUUUGUCAAAGGCUUGGGCUGGAAUCACUGGGUUGCUGUGAGGUUUCCAGGCUGUAUGGCCAAGUUGCAAAUGCAUUCUCUCCUGACGUUUUGUCCACAUCUAUGGCAGACCUCACAACCUCUGAGGAUGUCUGCCAUAGAUGUGGGCGAAACGUUAGGAGAUAAUGCUUCUGGAACAUGGCCAUACAACCCAGAAAACUCACAGCAAUCCAAGAAGGAUCCUGGUUCUGAGAUGGCCAAGAAGUUUUACGGUGGCCAGUGUGGCAAACAGAAUUGUGGAC